This is a long non-coding RNA of Lotus japonicus, 641 nucleotides long. RefSeq lists it as uncharacterized. The transcript is spliced from 2 exons. NCBI's taxonomy places the organism in Eukaryota, Viridiplantae, Streptophyta, Magnoliopsida, Fabales, Fabaceae. The record is from RefSeq and is a predicted model, not a curated record.
AAUAAAAUAAAAAAGAAAUUAACCUAUGUUAAAUAAAACACACGUGAAAGCUGCUUCAACAGAUGCAUUGUUCUCUUCUUCCCCAUCAUUCUCUUCUUCCCCAUCGUUCACUUCUUCCAUUAACUCGAACCAGAGAAGCUUCAUGACGUCCCACAACUACGCAAUCUGAACUCACGAUGGUGGAGGUUGUCAAGCUUCAUCUUCGACCUCCAUUGGUGACGUCGAAGCUAGUGUGCGAAGGAGAAGACUCUGUGACUGUGGGGUUAAAGCUCCAUUGGUGACGUCGUGGUCAGAUGACAACCCGGGAAGGCGAUUCUUUGGCUGUGGAAUGUAUAAGGUGACGGGGAAAAACUGCUGCAACUAUUUUGUUUGGUAUGAUGGUGAAGGUAACACAAGGGACAAGAAGAUUUUUGCUAGGUUGAUUGGAAGAAUUGAAGAGGAAGGAUAAAUCCUUAGUUAGGAUUGCUAUAACUGUUUGGGUCAUUAGUGUGGUGUUAGCCUUUGUUCUUGGCAUGUUAUAUAUGAAGUAUUAGUCUAGAAAGUGUGUUUAAUUGUCAUGUAAUGCACCAUUUUGAUAAAAUGUAAUGCACAAUGGGGUAUGUAACUCAAAUUCAAUGAAAUGCACAAGGUUGUUCGUGGCA